This is a long non-coding RNA of Bradysia coprophila, 138 nucleotides long. Lineage: Eukaryota; Metazoa; Arthropoda; Insecta; Diptera; Sciaridae. The record is from RefSeq and is a predicted model, not a curated record.
UGACAGUUCAAAAGCGCACAUGUUCAAUAAUUCAUUCUAUUGAUAAAAUAUCGAUUAUUUCCCGGGAAUCGAUUAUCGAUAUUUUCAGAAAAUCAAUAUCAAUCGAAUGUUUUAUCGAUAUAUCGACUGAUAAUCGGC